This 257-nucleotide ribosomal RNA is filed under the name uncultured bacterium. RNAcentral's name for it is "partial 16S ribosomal RNA". It matches the Rfam family "Bacterial small subunit ribosomal RNA", at positions 1246 to 1500 of the family's 1533-position model. The record is from RNAcentral.
GAAGCAAGACCGUGAGGUGGAGCAAAACUCAAAAACUUAGUCUCAGUUCGGAUUGUAGGCUGAAACUCGCCUACAUGAAGCUGGAGUUGCUAGUAAUCGCGAAUCAGCAUGUCGCGGUGAAUACGUUCCCGGGCCUUGUACACACCGCCCGUCACACCAUGAGAGUUGGCAAUACCCAACGUACGUGAUCUAACCCGCAAGGGAGGAAGCGUCCUAAGGUAGGGUCAGCGAUUGGGGUGAAGUCGUAACAAGGUACC